Non-coding RNA from Sus scrofa (pig), 5855 nucleotides. NCBI's taxonomy places the organism in Eukaryota, Metazoa, Chordata, Mammalia, Artiodactyla, Suidae. The record is from RefSeq and is a predicted model, not a curated record.
CUGCAGGUGCGGCUCUAAAAAAAAAAAAAAAAUAAAAAAAAAAAUAAAAAAAGAAGAAGUGGGGGACACAGAAAGGCCUUUGUGCCCAGGAGCCCACAGGGCCCUGCUGGGUUUCCUCAGUACUUUUGAAUCUAAAACACAGAUGGGUUCUUGUCUUGGCCAGAGGCAUUGAGUUCAAUUUCCUUGAAGGGGCCGUGAAGCCCAACAAUAGGCCAGAAAUGGAUUUAUUAAGAGAGGAUGAUUUUGAGGGUGCAAGCCUGGCAGGCGAGGAUUAGGUGGGCUGCAUUUUUAUGAUCCAAGAAAAGACUUGUCCUCUUCCUCAUUCUUCGAGUAGACGUCAGGCUUCCAUCACUAGCUCCUUUGUACCCCGUGAGCGAGUCUUUGACCCUCUGAGGUCAAACCGGGACUGUCCUGCUGCCUAUUCAGAUCAGCAGAAGGUGGUCAGGAGGCUGCAAUAUCUUGACUCACCUCUGGUUUCCAUACAGUGAGAGUCUCCUCCUCGGGAAUGGCCUCUUUCCCUGAAAUUCCUGUCCUUGCUCCGAAGGACCAACAUCUUGCCGAACUUGAAUGCAGGUCUCAUUUCACCUUUUACCUAAUGACCUGAGGCCCAUCUGGUGCUUUUAUCUGUGGUUUUAUAGUUAAGCAAGGCUGCUUUGUUCCACGACAUUCUGAUAGCUUUCUGGCUCAAUCGCUAACUUAGAGUGGUGGCCCACAAUUUCCCUCUCUGUCUGGGGUCCCCUCUGGGGACUUUUCUACAGCUGCCUGGGUAACCAACCCUGCCACUUCCAUUUGGUGCUUUUCCCCCCUGAAGAUUAUUCUGUUAGAAAUGAAAUAGUCAUCUAAUUUCCCACAAACUAUUACUCCCAUAGACGCAUCAAUUAUUUUAUAGGUUUUCUUGUUCUCAAGUUCACUGCGGUGAAGAAUCAGGUUUUAUCUAUUUUCAAUUUCUUUUUAAAAGACCUACAAAAGGCAAGGCAAUUUUUGGAUCAUUGAUUUAACAUAUGUAACAUUUCUACCCUCAGUUUUUCUAAAACAUUUCAAUUCCUCGCUGUCCGUGUCUGUAUCUAUCUCUCGGGGACCACAUUGGAGCGUCUUUGUUCCGAAGAAAGCCCUUUGUUUCUCUGCGUGUGUUUGCAUGUGUGCAUAACGAUUAGAAUCUUCUAGGUGUGGCCUUUUUACAAUCAGGAGACUCUGCUUAGCUCCUGGCAGACUGAAGGAGAGCAUUUAUCCCGAUGAGGAGGCUUGCGUAUCUUUCCGGACCUUUUAUUUUUUUCAGGUUUCACUGCAUUUCUAUCUGAGGCCCCACCCUGCCUCAUAUUCCUCCCCGCUGUUUUCAGUUCAGUGCUUAGUUUCACAGUGUGUCCAUUUGUCCUCUGCUCAAGUCACGUGCACAAGCACGGGUCGUCAGGUUUAAUCCCUGGGCACCUGUACCCACCACGUCCCCCAUCCCUUCGCAGGGUCAUCUUCCUUUUUUCUGACUCUGUUUUGGAAAAUACUUCCUUAGCUUUGGGAAGAGGCUCUGAUCUCGUUCAUCUUGGGUUUGCUCUGAAAAGCCGGUGAGGCAGCCCAGGGGCAGGCUGUUUUCUGCCCUCCGUCCUGCCCCGUCCAUGAUGCUCUGCGGCCUCUGGAAGGGGGUGCCGUCGGCCCAGGGUUCCUGGUUUUAUGUUGCCAUGUGACUUUCUUCCUUUCCUUCUUAAGGAUGACAGGUGUUGAACAAAUAUUUAUUGAGUUCCUUCUAGUGCCAGACACACUGAGGAACAAGCACUGUGCCAAUUAGACGCUUGGCGACAAACAGUAGAAACAAAUUCUGAAUAACCUAAGCAAAAAAAAAAAAAAAGAAAAAAAAAGCGGUGUUAAGCAGCUCGUAGAGGAGACUAGAGGUGGGAAAGGGGGUGGGGACGGAGGCAGAGCAUGUGUGGGCAAAGUCACGAAGGGGGAGAGUGACCGAGGGCCACCACGGCCACCACAGCUCCUCCAGCCUGCUGGUGCCCCACUGCGUCCGGCUGCCACUCAUUCUGCGCCACCAGGUCAGGAAUCCUAGUUCAAGCAAAACCUCCUGACUGGGCAAGGGCAGGGCUCGGCCCCCUGAAAGCUGCCAGGACCUGGGAUUUGGGUAGAAGCGGGCCAGAGCUUCAGCAGAGCAGGCGUCUUCUGGACGAGGAGCCAGGCUCUCCGCCCGCCACCCUUGAUUGGAGAAAAGAGGCCCUGAUGUCAUCCCCAGCAUCAGCCAUCUGCCUGCCACCAGCACGGGAGGCGUCUCAGCAGCCCCCUCCCAGGAGCAAGGGUUCCCUGUGUGCUGACCUUAUCCGUCGUAACAAAUGACUGCUGGAUUGUUACCCUGCAGAGAAUGAAAAAGAAAAACGAAUCCAGAUCCUUUAAGGGCCUUCUUUCUCGGCUUACGGAAUGGAGGGAAAAGCGUGAACAUCGAGAAACAGCAGACAAGCGACCCCCAGGCCUAGCGAAGGGCCCAGAAAUCCAUAUUGCUAUCAAGCUGCUUUGAGAGUUCCUGAUUCUGAUGAUUAGACAAACACGGAAAAUCUUGAAUCAACGAUCCUGCCGGCGACCACAGCUGCCCCUUCCCUCCGGGGACAUGAAAUCAAAGGAUGACUCACGAUCACGGCGGGCGACCCUUCCUGGAGCACCGACGGAACGAGUCCCAACAGAACGAGUCCGGGUUAUCUGUGAAGUGUCCACACCAGGGACGCGGGGUUUGAGAACUCGACACUGUGCCGUGGUUUUCUUAGUCCUUCCGUUCCUCUGCCUUCCUGGUCCUGCUGCUUUCUCCUGGUUUCAUUUCUCUUACCUCAUAUCCUCUCACUGGAGAUUCGGUUGGGUUUUUUGGCGGGAUUUUUUUGUUUUGUGUUUUCUUUUUUCUUUUUACAGCUGCACCUGCAGCAUGUGGAAUUUCCUGGGUUAGGGGUCAAAUUGGAGCUGCAGCUGCCAGCUUACACUAUAGGCACAGCAACACUGGAUCUGAGCCACAUAUGUGACCUGCACCACAGCUCAUGGCAAAGCCAGAUCCUUAACUCAUUGAGCGAGGCCAGGGAUCGAACUCAGAUCUUCACGGAGACUUAUGGCAGGUUCUUAAUCCAUUUAGUCAUGAUGAAAACUCCUCAGUUGGGUUUUACGUUAGCUUUCCAGCUAUUUCUACGGCUUUUCAAAAUUAUUUCAUUCCUUUAAAAAUGUGUUUCUGUGUGGCCCCGCCCGUGGCAUGUGGAGGUUCCCCACCCGGGAUCACACCUGAGCCGUAGUCGAGACGAUGGUGGAUCUUUAACUGCUAGGCCCCGAGGGGACACCUACGGUUUUUAUAAAAAUAAUGCCUUCCCGUCUUCUGCAUUUCAAGUGACAUAAUUUACAUCAUUAUUUUUGGAUUUUUAAAAUAUUGUCUCAAUUCACCCUCUUGAUACCACCCUUUAUGAUACUGUGCUAAAUCAUGUCCGUUUUUUUUUAACCAGUCUUAGCCUGGGGGUCUGGCUCUCCAACAGAUGUCUUUGCCAUCCAGCUGUGUUAGCGCUGUCUUGUCAACUAAUCUUGUCAACUAAUUUACACCGGAAGCACAAGGCAGAUAAAUUAAAGUAUCUUUAGUUUACCUAGACUACUUCGACAUGCAUCCAAAAGCAUAAUAAGCAUAAACUAUGGAGAAUAAGUGCCAGAUUUUCUAGACACCAGGAGCAAUACCUUGGAGUUCCUGCCAUGGCGCAGUGGGUUAAGAACCUGACUGUGUUGGCUCAGGUUGCCGUGGAGGUGAGGGUUUGACCCCCGGCCUGGUGCAGUGGGUUAAAGGAUCCAGCCUUGCCACAGCUGCUGUGGAGGUCUUAGCUGUGGCUCGGAUUCAGUCCCUGGCCUGGGACCUUCCAGGUGCUGUGGGUGCGGCCAUAAGAACGGACCAAAUAACGAACGAACCAUUUCUUUCAGAACACGAUGACCCAUAAAUCAGCCGAGAGGGAUUCUCGAAGUAAAACUAUCUCAGUCGCUUACAUCGGAUGUACUCCAGUGCCAUUGCUAACAUGGAGUUCUCCAGGAGACUGCUGGAGAGAAGCGGCCAGUUUACAGACGUGGACUCGGAGAGCAGAACCCGAGGGCUGCUGGACCACGUGUUCCCCAGUGGACACAGGCAGCGUGGAGAGCAGCCCCAGGAGAGGAUGGGGCGCCCCCGGCCGGCGGGUCUGGGGCCUCGGCCAGGAGUCCAGCCUCCCCUCAGCUUCCUGAGAUGCGACAGCCUGGCCAGUGGGACAAAAGAUUCCAAUCAAAGGACAAGAGGACACCACACAGCCCUGGGCGGCAUGAUUAACUUACCAGAACACACGAGGGGUGAACCUGCCUCUCCAGGGAUGACCACAGCCCCAGGGACCACAGCACCCCUGACCCUGGAACAAGCCAUUCAGAUGCACCGUGUUGUGGAGGCUAAGACAGCAAGUCGAUAUUGGACUAACUACGUGGAUUAAGAAUGAGACUACAGUAUCCUAUUUAGAUGAAAAGAAUGAAGAAAUGUUGAAACUCCCAAAGAAAUAAUUAAAUGGCAGAUUUCUGCUUCUUUAAUUCAAAAUUAUGAAAACAAUGAUGACCCAGCAAGUAUAUAAUAAUAUAUUUAUUAGAAAUGUGAGAUUUUCAUGCAGAAACCCAGAACCAUGAAUGAGAACCAGUAGAAAUAAGAGUCAGCAGAAUUAUGUUCACAAAAAAUCAAGAUAAUGGAAGUUAGCAGAUGUAGAAAUACAAUAAUAAGAUUAAUAUGGUCAAAUAAACUUUACAAAGAAAUUUUAAAUUACUAAUAAAGAGUAUACUAUGAAAAUGGAUGAAACGUUUGAAAGAACUGCAAUUUUUAGAGUGGAAAACAUAGUAAGUAAAAGUAUUUAACAAGUGGGUUAAAGAGUAGAUUAGGCAUACGUGAAGAUAGAAUUAGUGAACUAUGUAGAUCAAGGGGAAUUAUCCAGAAUCUAGCACAGAGAAACAGAGUGAUGGAAUACAUAACAAAGAAAUAAAGAGCUAUAGAGGGUAGAGUAAGAAAGUGCAACAUUCAUUUAAACACAGUUCCAGGAAGAGUAAUCAAGAGAACGAAGAAGAAGCAGUAUUAGAAGAGAAAAUUCUAAAAUGCCAGAACUGAUGAAAGACACCAAUCCUCAGAUUUAGGGAUCUCAAAAAACCACAAGAGCAAUAGAAUAAAAAAACAAAACAAAACAAAAACAAAAAAACUAAACACCAAAUGUAAGGUGAAGUCCUUUAAAGAAGCCAGAGAGAAAAGACAAGUCACCUACAAAAGAAAAGCAAUUUGAAACCCAGAUGACAUUUCUAUAGAAACAGUCAGCAAAUCCUAGGAAAGCUAUUUUAGUAAAAAGAAAUACAAAAUGCAAAUAGUCCUACAAUUAUUAAAUGAAUUGAAUCCAUAAUUUAAAAACCUUCCCACAAAGAAAAUAAGAAAAACUCUAGGCCCAUAUGGUUUCACUGGUGAAUUUCAAACAAAUAGUUAGGGAAAAAGUAAUGUCAUCUUUUCUAAGUAAAUUCUUCCAGAAAUGGAAAAAGAGGGCAUAUCUCCUGUUUCUUUUUGUAAUGCCUGCAUAAUCUAAAAGGAAAAAACAGGCUGAUCUCACUCAGGAAUGUAGUUGCAAAAUUUUAAAACAAAAUAUUAACAAACUGAACUCUAAUAUUUUGUUCAUUUUAGUAAUUUCUGCUCAUAAUGAAAAUAUAGCAAAUUCCAAAUAAAAAGGAAAAAUUUAAAUCUGGCAAUGUGUUUUUAAAAAUAUUUGUAAGUAAACAAUGUACUGGGAUUCCCUUCGUGUCUCAGCAGUUAACGAACCUGACUAGCAUCCACUUGUAUGCGUGUUUGAUCCCUGGCCUCUCUCAUUGGGUUAAGUAUGCAG